GGCUAUGUUAAUACGUAGUAUCCAGACAUCCAGGUGUCUAGCUCUACCAAGUUCUGUCAGAUAUGCCCAUGAUACAUUAUAUUUUUCGCUAUACCUGUUUAUAAAGAUUCCAGAACAUUAACAGAAGCCUUUGGAUCUUCAUCUAAUGGUCUUAACCGUUGUUUUAAACGUCCGCUUCCGGCAAAGUUUGGCAUGAAAGAAGAACGUGCUGCCGUCAACAAUAGCGCAGUUGUACAUUCUUCUAUGGAAGUCACUGACUGUUCCAUUGCCUCGCCAUAAUAAGACGCGGACGUGACAGCAUAGCCUAGAGCUGUUCGCCAGCACCCACCUUUUCAUACCUCAGCGUAGGUUGGCAGAGGACGUCCUUUCUGCCUCUUGGGUCUUCUUGGCCUUUGACUGGCCUUUCUGCGGAUGUAAAAGGUUUUGCAAGGACAAAAAGGAGAACAGAUCCUUUCCCCCUUCUACAUACGCCGUAUACUAGUACUGCUAGUAUGUUACUGUACAUAUGUACCUAAGCAAGUACUGUACUAUCUUUUGAGUGGAAAAAAGCAAUGAAUGCGUUCUGCCUCCUUCGAGACUGAAUCAAAACAUCUUGAUGCUACAAGUUAUACCA
Long non-coding RNA from Brachypodium distachyon (stiff brome), 613 nucleotides. RefSeq lists it as uncharacterized. The transcript has 2 exons. The record is from RefSeq and is a predicted model, not a curated record. Lineage: Eukaryota; Viridiplantae; Streptophyta; Magnoliopsida; Poales; Poaceae.